This is a non-coding RNA of Capsicum annuum, 111 nucleotides long. NCBI's taxonomy places the organism in Eukaryota, Viridiplantae, Streptophyta, Magnoliopsida, Solanales, Solanaceae. The record is from Rfam.
AGACUGUUGGUGAUGUAGACAAUCCCGAAGUGAAUCCUUAAAGCGUUCCCAAGCAUGAUAAAGAUUUUCAUCAAGAUUCUAUUUGAAGCUCACUAUCUCAUUAUGAAGUCU